Long non-coding RNA from Ipomoea nil (Japanese morning glory), 575 nucleotides. RefSeq lists it as uncharacterized. Lineage: Eukaryota; Viridiplantae; Streptophyta; Magnoliopsida; Solanales; Convolvulaceae. The transcript has 3 exons. The record is from RefSeq and is a predicted model, not a curated record.
GUAGACGAAGUUUUGCUAUAGACCGUCUCUUUUUCAGACUUCCCGCUCCAGCUUCUCACUCUUCUCACUACUCUGCGAAUCACUCUGCUCCACUCUGGUCAAAUAUUCUCGGCGCCAUCGCGACAACCGUUCAUGCUGCAAAUCUCCUUCCCGUCGUCAUGGAGACAGUCGCCUCUUCCCGUCAAAGUCGCUCACCGGCGUCUCCGUCUCUAUUGAACUACAAUGAAGGGAAAAAGAGAAGGAAGUGUGGAGUCAAGAUUUAGGAGAAGAAUUCAUGGGAGAAAAAUGAGGGAAAGACAACAUUUACAUUGGUUGCUUUAGAUUUUCAUUGAAAGCUUUGAAUUUUGAACAAUAUAUUCUUUUAAACAUUCUCCUUUUGCGUAGCUUUCUUACUUUCAAUAUUGGGUGUUUCUUGACAUGACAGUAUAAGGGUGAUGUAGUGGAUGGAUUUUGUUCCUACAUGUAGUCACCAUUUUGGUGUGGAGGUAUUCAUAUAAAACUUAGUUACUAUCUCGGAUGAAGGAAAAGCCUCUGUUCAGGGUAGUAGGUGCUUUUGAAGGUAAAUACUUAGUGUC